GACGAACGCUGGCGGCGUGCUUAACACAUGCAAGUCGAACGGAAAGGCCCUGCUUUUGUGGGGUGCUCGAGUGGCGAACGGGUGAGUAACACGUGAGUAACCUGCCCUUGACUUUGGGAUAACUUCAGGAAACUGGGGCUAAUACCGGAUAGGAGCUCCUGCUGCAUGGUGGGGGUUGGAAAGUUUCGGCGGUUGGGUAUGGACUCGCGGCUUAUCAGCUUGUUGGUGGGGUAGUGGCUUACCAAGGGUUUGACGGGUAGCCGGCCUGAGAGGGUGACCGGCGACAUUGGGACUGAGAUACGGCCCAGACGCCUACGGGAGGCAGCAGUGGGGAAUAUUGCACAAUGGGCGGAAGCCUGAUGCAGCAACGCCGCGUGCGGGAUGACGGCCUUCGGGUUGUAAACCGCUUUCGCCUGUGACGAAGCGUGAGUGACGGUAAUGGGUAAAGAAGCACCGGCUAACUACGUG
RNAcentral lists this ribosomal RNA (468 nucleotides) under uncultured bacterium. RNAcentral describes it as "partial 16S ribosomal RNA". It matches the Rfam family "Bacterial small subunit ribosomal RNA", at positions 28 to 507 of the family's 1533-position model. The record is from RNAcentral.